GGCUUGUAUGAUAUGUUUUGCUGGGCGAAACUGCUGGCUAGUCCCUAUUUCGUAGGUCAGGUUGAGUGACGUCUGUUCUAUCAGGUCAGUCCUAGUGGGUGCCUGCGUCUGUUUCCAUCUCCUGGCUAACAGGAGGUUUGCUGCUGUCAAGAUGUGAAAUAAUAGGCCCGCUUGUGGUUUUGGGUGGGAGUCCAGUGAUAUAAAUAGUAAGGCACAUUCUGG
Pelobates cultripes (western spadefoot toad) is the source of this 222-nucleotide non-coding RNA. NCBI's taxonomy places the organism in Eukaryota, Metazoa, Chordata, Amphibia, Anura, Pelobatidae. The record is from the annotation of a GenBank genome assembly.